GUACUUAGAACCACCAGGCGCGAACGGUGCAGUAGUGACCCUCAGCAAGCCCUCCUUCUGUUUCAGUGGGCUUGGUGAGGGAGCAAGGGGAGGAGGGUAAGGAGGGUGAGAGAAUAGGUGUGAUGUGUUGUGGUCUACGGUCGCAACCCGUCCGUCCCCGCCACCGCUUCCGGAGGCUGCCAGCCUCGUCCAGCGGCCCGUACCCCUACCACUCGCCGUACCGAUCCGAGGUCGCUGGCGUAGGGGUGGUACCUGCCGGCCGGGGCUUGAGGAAGCUGCGGCGUAGGACAGGAAGCUGCGGCGUAGGGACGGUACCUGCCAGCCGGGGAGUUUAGGAGGCUGCGGCGUAGGAACGUCCAGUAGGUUGCAACGUAGGGGACGGUACCUGCCGGCCGGGGUUUGAGGAGGCGGACCCUGAAGCCCAUCCGCCCUACCCGAGCUCCGGCGCCAACACCGGCCUCCUCUAGGCCACCACGGAGCCACCAUCGCCGUCGCUCCCGCACCGUGACCGAUAUACCCCGUGAGGUACGCCCUAGGAAGGGCUCUCGCUCCCCGACGAAUCCGAGAAGCCGACCGGGGCGGCGAGUACCUCGGCGGGCGGAGGCUCAGGAACCACCGUGAGGGGGACGUAGUGAAAGCCGUCGCCGCCCCUGCCGCCCCUGCCGCCCAGCGACGGACGACCGCCACUACACCGCAUGGAGCUACUGCCCGGCUGCUCCUGGGCUCGGCGGUACGGUAAGUUCGGGAGAAGCCGACGAGGCUGGCGGAGCUGGUUCGCCAGUACCAGCGCCGCCGGCGGCUGGUCCACUAGCGCGAACAGCAGAUGUAGAUCGAGAACUCGCACCGGUAGUUGAGCGAGAGUACCAGUGGUCGAUAGACUUGGUAGUUCGUCCUUUUUCCGGCCCGGGUCAACCACCCCCCUACUACCUCCACACAUCGCCGUCCCUCGCAGCGACCGCACGCUCUAAACUACGCGUACUUCCCGACGUCGACCCUCGCCGUCGUCGCCGCUGACGGGGAGGCUGACUCGAUAAGUUGCGGCGUCACCCCCGGAUGGAGCUGCUGCUGCUGCUUGCCCGGUCACGGUUCCCGUUCUGGCUGCACGUCAUGUAGUAGGAGCUGUCCCACGUCGGUAGUCGUCGUAGCAGUCCUCCCCGUACGACCUACUCGAGUUCUUCUGGGACCAGUCCUCCUCGUAAGUCCAUUCUUGUCUCGUUGUGUUUAACAGUACAAAGAUUCCCUUUAUCUCGUACGAAACACUAUACUUGUUACCGACUAAGUAGCAAAACAUUUAGAUUUGAAAAGGUCGUUUGAACGCUCUUUAAAUAUAAGUGUACCGUGUACCUUUAAAUAUAAGUCUACUAUACCGAUGAAGUAUAAUCCCUCUUUAAAAGCUCACCUCUCGUAUAAUUCAAUGGUAGGCAAAAAAAAACUGUAUGGUUUAACUACAACCUUGGCAUACGUAACCAUUACAAUUAAUUAACGGUACCGUUUUUAUGAAAAAUUAUUUCAGCGGUAGUCAAAAUAUAAGUCAUUUACUACCCGUACCGUUGAUACAUAAUAAGACAUCCUUCAAGUAGCUUAAGUAAGUAUUGAACCGUUUAAAUAUAUAUCAAACAUACCGUUUAAGUGAAGGUGUAAUACAAAGGUGUUGUACCGUUAAAACAUAUAAAGUUAAAAGCAUUAUAGGUGUAUCGCUACCCGUCCACAUUACCCGACGUGGCUAAGUCUACUGGUACUCUCCCUCCGUUUAAAUCAAAUAACUGGUACUGUUCAAAGUAAUUAACUGGUACCGUUCAAAAUAAUUGACUGGUACCGUUUUAAAAUUCAAAAAAAGCUGGUACCGUUUAAAUCAAACAACUGGUACCGUUCAAAAUAAUUAGCCGGUACCUUUUAAAGUUCAGGCUGGUACCGGUCAAAUCAUUAACUGGUACCGCUUAAAUCAAAUAUCUGGUACCGUUCAAAAUAAUUAACUGGUACCGUUCAAAAUUCAGGAAAAAGCUGGUACCUUUUAAAUCAUUAACUGGUACCGUUUAAUAAAAAACCAUCUAGUACCGUUUAAAUAAUUAACAAUUCUUGUAGGUGUAGAAGACAGUACGGGAAAAACCGUUAAAAAAGAGGUAAAAACGGUACCGUUUUUAUGAAGAUAAGUGUGCCGUUUGAAAUCACAUUCAACGGUACCUUUAAAAAUCAAAUUCAACGGUACCGUUUAAAUAACAUUUCUCGUACCGUUGAAAACAAAAUUUAUACUACCGUUUAAAUGUAAAAGAUCUUGUACCGUUAAAAUUGAUGCAUCGUGCCAUUUAUAUAAACAUAUCGGUACCGUAAAAAAUUUAAAUAAAGGUACCGUUUUCAUGAGGUAAAAACGGUACCUUUAUUAAAUAAAUAAAAAAGGUACAGUUUUAUCAAAGAUAAAAGUGUACCGUUUAAAAAUCAAAAUCAACGGUAACGUUUAAAAUAAAAAUCAACGGUACUGUUUAAAUAACAUUCCUGGUACCGUUAAAAUUAAAUUUAUAAUACCGUUUAAAUGUAAAAUAUCUUGUACCAUUUAAAAUGAUACAUCGUAGAAUUUAUAUAAACAC
RNAcentral lists this ribosomal RNA (2582 nucleotides) under Triticum aestivum (bread wheat). Its description in RNAcentral is "partial small subunit ribosomal RNA". The record is from RNAcentral. Lineage: Eukaryota; Viridiplantae; Streptophyta; Magnoliopsida; Poales; Poaceae.